This is a non-coding RNA of Sander lucioperca (pikeperch), 542 nucleotides long. The record is from the annotation of a RefSeq genome assembly. Lineage: Eukaryota; Metazoa; Chordata; Actinopteri; Perciformes; Percidae.
CUUUUUCUACACUGUUGUACUGAACUUUGUACCUCCACUAGAGGGCGACAUUAUCAAGUAGGAGGUGCACUACUUCUGCACUGUGUUCAACCAUUCAGUCAAUAAUAAGUGCUGCUGUGAAGAGAACAAUUCUCAGACUGAAUGUUGAACAUCAGCUAGUUUCUCCUGUUGAUUUAAACCUUGUUGUAGAGAUGGAACAUUGGCUGUGGAUUAUUCUUGCUGCUCUUUUCUUUGAGUGUAAAGGAGAAGACAGAGUGAUCCAGCCAACAGGAGAUGUCAUUGCUACUGAAGGAGAGACAGUUACUCUUGACUGUACAUUUGAGACCAGUGACACAUAUCCCUAUUUGUUCUGGUACAAACAAGAAGUCAAUGAUUUCCCAAAGUACAUGCUGAAGCGUUACUCAAACACAAAAGAGAAUGCUCCAGAUUUCCAGAAGGACAGAUUUGAUGCUACAAUCAACAAGACAUCAGUUCCUCUGAAGAUCCAGAAGCUUCAGCUGUCUGACUCUGCUGUGUACUACUGUGCUCUGCAGCCCACAGUG